GAUGAAGAACGUAGCGAAAUGCGAUACUUGGUGUGAAUUGCAGAAUCCCGUGAACCAUCGAGUCUUUGAACGCAAGUUGCGCCUCAAGCCAUUAGGUUGAGGGCACGUCUGCCUGGGCGUCACAUAUCGUUGCCUGAUGCCAGUUUCCUCGUGAUGGGUGACUGUGCAGGGCGAAUGAUGGCUUCCCGUGAGCAUUGUUGCCUCAUGGUUGGUUGAAAAUUGAGUCCUUGGUAGGGAGCGCCGUGAUAGAUGGUGGUUGAGUGACGAACGAGACCCAAUCAUGUGAGACCCCUACCGAAUUUGGCCUUCAUGACCCACAUGCGUCUUUGGAACGCUCAUGACGAGACCUCAGGUCAGGCGGGGCUACCCGCUGAGUUUAAGCAUAUCACUAAGCGGAGGA
RNAcentral lists this unclassified non-coding RNA (400 nucleotides) under soil metagenome. RNAcentral's name for it is "partial contains 5.8S ribosomal RNA, internal transcribed spacer 2, and large subunit ribosomal RNA". The stretch from base 1 to 122 matches the Rfam family "5.8S ribosomal RNA", at positions 35 to 154 of the family's 154-position model. The record is from RNAcentral.